This 88-nucleotide small RNA is filed under the name Escherichia fergusonii. RNAcentral's name for it is "partial RtT sRNA". It matches the Rfam family "RtT RNA", at positions 45 to 130 of the family's 130-position model. Rfam says of the family: This family represents a bacterial cis-regulatory element known as RtT RNA. The exact function of RtT is unknown although it is thought that it may be involved in changing the cellular response in relation to amino acid starvation. The record is from RNAcentral. Lineage: Bacteria; Pseudomonadati; Pseudomonadota; Gammaproteobacteria; Enterobacterales; Enterobacteriaceae.
GACUCGAGCGCCAGCGAGAGAGCAUUGCCGCAGGCAACGACCCGUAGGGCGAAGCGCGCAGCGCUGAGUAAUCCUUCCCCCACCACCA